CCUGCUGAGCGGGCGCGGCACCAGCCGCCGCAACCCAAAGCCCCGGGCUUCCUGCAGCCACCGCCGCUGCGCCAGCCCAGGACGACCCCGCCGCCAGGGGCCCAGUGCGAGGUCCCCGCCAGCCCCCAGCGGCCUUCCCCGCCCGGGGCGCUCCCAGAGCAAACGAGGUCCCUGAGAGCUCCACCUAGUUCACAGGAUAAAAUCCCACAGCAGAACUCGGAGUCAGCAAUGGCUAAGCCCCAGGUGGUUGUAGCUCCUGUAUUAAGGUCUAAGCUGUCUGUGAAUGCCCCUGAAUUUUACCCUUCAGGUUAUUCCUCCAGUUACACAGAAUCCUAUGAGGUUGGUUGUGAGGAUUAUCCUACUCCAUCAGAAUAUGUUCAGGAUUUUUUGAAUCAUCUUACAGAGCAGCCUGGCAGUUUUGAAACUGAAAUUGAACAGUUUGCAGAGACCCUGAAUGGUUGCGUUACAACAGAUGAUGCUUUGCAAGAACUUGCGGAACUCAUCUAUCAACAGGCCACGUCUAUCCCAAAUUUCUCUUAUAUGGGAGCUCGCCUGUGUAAUUACCUGUCCCAUCAUCUGACAAUUAGCCCACAGAGUGGCAACUUCCGCCAAUUGCUACUUCAAAGAUGUCGGACUGAAUAUGAAGUUAAAGAUCAAGCUGCAAAAGGGGAUGAAGUUACUCGAAAACGAUUUCAUGCAUUUGUAUUCUUUCUGGGAGAACUUUAUCUUAACCUGGAGAUCAAGGGAACAAAUGGACAGGUUACAAGAGCAGAUAUUCUUCAGGUUGGUCUUCGAGAAUUGCUGAAUGCCCUGUUUUCUAAUCCUAUGGAUGACAAUUUAAUUUGUGCAGUAAAAUUGUUAAAAUUGACAGGAUCAGUUUUGGAAGAUGCUUGGAAGGAAAAAGGAAAGAUGGAUAUGGAAGAAAUUAUUCAGAGAAUUGAAAACGUUGUCCUAGAUGCAAACUGCAGUAGAGAUGUAAAACAGAUGCUCUUGAAGCUUGUAGAACUCCGGUCAAGUAACUGGGGUAGAGUCCAUGCAACUUCAACAUAUAGAGAAGCAACACCAGAAAAUGAUCCUAACUACUUUAUGAAUGAACCAACAUUUUAUACAUCUGAUGGUGUUCCUUUCACUGCAGCUGAUCCAGAUUACCAAGAGAAAUACCAAGAAUUACUUGAAAGAGAGGACUUUUUUCCAGAUUAUGAAGAAAAUGGAACAGAUUUAUCCGGGGCUGGUGAUCCAUACUUGGAUGAUAUUGAUGAUGAGAUGGACCCAGAGAUAGAAGAAGCUUAUGAAAAGUUUUGUUUGGAAUCAGAGCGUAAGCGAAAACAGUAAAGUUAAAUUUCAGCAUAUCAGUUUUAUAAAGCAGUUUAGGUAUGGUGAUUUAGCAGAACACAGGAGAGCAAGAAAAUGUGUCACAUCUAUACCAAAUUAAGGAUGUUGAGUUAUGUUACUAAUGUAUGCAACUUUAAUUUUGUUUAACACUAUCUGCCAAAAUAAACUUUAUUCCCUAUAACUUAAAAUGUGUAUAUAUAUAUAUAUAUAUAUAUAUAUAUAUAUAUAUAUGUGUGUAUAUAUAUAUAUAUAAUAGUUUAUUAUGUACAGUUAAUUCUACUGUUUUGGCUGCAAUAAAAUCGAUUUUGAAAUAAAUGAAAUGUUGAAAAUUUUGCUAGUUGGUUAGAUGCUUAUCCUUUAAAUUCUACUUUUCUUGAGGUGAAAAAGUCUUCCUCUGGAAAUACAUAUCACUGCAAAAAUGUAGCAUCCUUUUUUAGGUAGGAGUAUUAUAGCUUUCAUUUUAGUUUGACAUUUAGUGUCCCAAUGAAUUGAAUUUCAAAUAUGAAUCAUAAUCUUGAAAAUCUUUAGCACUAAAGUCUUGGAAUAUAUCAACAACUGAUUUACAUAUGCAGAUGCUAUUUGAUACCAAGGGCUUUUUAAAUGUCAUGGGGGGGAAAUCCCAACUUGGUGAACUCCCAGCUAAACAGCCAAGACUUCACUGAAGAUUUAUUCCAAUUCUAGAAUUGUUCUUUUUUAUUUUUAUUUUUUCAACUGACUAACUUCAUUACCUUAAAGCCUAGAACAUUAUUCUGCUUUAUUUAUAUGGCUUUCUCACUUUUAUUUUGUAGCAUGGGUUGCAUCGACUUUUUUACUAGAGAAUUUUACUAGAUAUUUGUCAUUCAAGUUUUCAUCUGCUUUAUAAUUGAUACACCUUGAGGGUCACUUUUCUAAUACUUUUACUAUAAUGUGGUACCACCUCAGCCCUAAUAAAUAAUAUUUUUACCUAAUGUCAAAUCUUUUUCCAGCUAACUAAAAACUAUGUACAAAAGGAUUGCUUGUAAAUAUGCAUGUAAAUAGUUCUGUUAAUAACCCACUGUUUUACAUUUGGUACAUCUGUGUCUGCUAAUACAGUUAGCUUUCUCACUUUUCUGCUUGUUUGUUCAGUCUGAAUUAAAAUUAGACUUUGAAAAUAAAGCUUAAAUAGUUCUGUUUCCUCUAAAAAAA
Molecule: long non-coding RNA, 2496 nt
Filed under: Homo sapiens (human)
Lineage: Eukaryota; Metazoa; Chordata; Mammalia; Primates; Hominidae
Description: non-protein coding lnc-TRIM16L-2:1
Source: RNAcentral